ACGAACGCUGGCGGCGUGCCUCAUACAUGCCAGUUGAGCGCUGAAGGUUGGUACUUGUACCAACUGGAUGAGCAGCGAACGGGUGAGUAACGCGUGGGGAAUCUGCCUUUGAGCGGGGGACAACAUUUGGAAACGAAUGCUAAUACCGCAUAAAAACUUUAAACACAAGUUUUAAGUUUGAAAGAUGCAAUUGCAUCACUCAAAGAUGAUCCCGCGUUGUAUUAGCUAGUUGGUGAGGUAAAGGCUCACCAAGGCGAUGAUACAUAGCCGACCUGAGAGGGUGAUCGGCCACAUUGGGACUGAGACACGGCCCAAACUCCUACGGGAGGCAGCAGUAGGGAAUCUUCGGCAAUGGACGAAAGUCUGACCGAGCAACGCCGCGUGAGUGAAGAAGGUUUUCGGAUCGUAAAACUCUGUUGGUAGAGAAGAACGUUGGUGAGAGUGGAAAGCUCAUCAAGUGACGGUAACUACCCAGAAAGGGACGGCUAACUACGUG
RNAcentral lists this ribosomal RNA (496 nucleotides) under uncultured bacterium. Its description in RNAcentral is "partial 16S ribosomal RNA". It matches the Rfam family "Bacterial small subunit ribosomal RNA", at positions 29 to 507 of the family's 1533-position model. The record is from RNAcentral.